Molecule: ribosomal RNA, 337 nt
Filed under: uncultured bacterium
Lineage: Bacteria
Description: bacterial SSU rRNA
Rfam family: Bacterial small subunit ribosomal RNA
Source: RNAcentral
UCGGGAAUUUUGGGCAAUGGGCGAAAGCCUGACCCAGCAACGCCGCGUGAAGGAUGAUGUAUUUCGGUAUGUAAACUUCGUAAGAAUAGGAAGAAUAAAUGACGGUACUAUUUGUAAGGUCCGGCUAACUACGUGCCAGCAGCCGCGGUAAUACGUAGGGACCAAGCGUUGUUCGGAUUUACUGGGCGUAAAGGGCGCGUAGGCGGUGUGUCAAGUCAGUUGUGAAAUCUCCGAGCUUAACUCGGAACGGUCAACUGAUACUGUCACACUAGAGUACAGAAGGGGCAAUCGGAAUUCUUGGUGUAGCGGUGAAAUGCGUAGAUAUCAAGAGGAACAC